GAUUCCGAUUAUGUUUUGGGCUAUCUCAGAGUUCAGGUUUACCACUAUGGAAUCCGAGGAUUUCACGAGAUUCAUGGUCGAGGGUUUCUAUGUAGCUUGUGGUAAUUUGUGAUGGAUUAGUUGGAGCACCCCUACAGGGUUAAAUCUUUCGAAAAGUUGUGCCCACGGUUAUGUGGCAAUAUGGAAACUUUGUUUAACAUUCG
Molecule: long non-coding RNA, 203 nt
Filed under: Hordeum vulgare
Lineage: Eukaryota; Viridiplantae; Streptophyta; Magnoliopsida; Poales; Poaceae
Description: long non-coding RNA (HVUL_LNC008999)
Source: RNAcentral